This 3019-nucleotide long non-coding RNA is filed under the name Marmota monax (woodchuck). The record is from RNAcentral. Lineage: Eukaryota; Metazoa; Chordata; Mammalia; Rodentia; Sciuridae.
GUGAUUCUUUGCAGUCGCCAGAGGUAACUUGUCACGUACCUAAACCCAAAGGGAUCUGAUGGUCAAGGUGCCAUCUCAUGCGGCAAUGCCCCUGACUGGAUGCGGCGUUGAGAUGUCCAAGGCCAGUGUGGAUCAGUGGGGAAGGGGGCCUGGGGUCCCAGAAAGGGGGUGUAUCCUGGCUUUUCCAUUUUGAAAGACACAUCCCAGCGUCCCUCAGGCCUGGUGAUCAGAAGGGCUCCUAGGAGUCCCCCCCCCACCCCCGACCCCUUGCAGAGCCUUGGGCUCUUUUUCUGGGGAAGAAGUUGAAGAGAGGAGAAAAGCAUAGGGCCAAAGCAAGGUGCCCCAAGGCUGCGCCCAGACCAAUCCACUUCCCUCCCGGCAAAGAGCAAAUGCUCCCUGUGAGGAGGCGAGGCAGUGGUCAAGGGGCCAAGGUUGGGGGUGGACAAGCCCUGUAGCCCCUUGUUCCUGGGACUGGGAAAGCAUGUCCCCUGCAUCUGGCGGCCAACUAAUUACAGAAGUUGCAGCUCCUUGAGAGUUAACUCUGGGGACAGCUGCACUCCUCGCCCCUGUCUGUGUAAUUAAGUAGCAGUUGUUCCCGCUUUGUGGAACAUGGACCUGGCAGCCCCUGUGAGGUCCUGUGGGGACGCUCUCAGUCUGAUUGGCAGACAGUUGGCAGGCAGGUGCCUCUUCUGCAAUGCCUCACUUCGGGACUCAGGCCACCUGGCAUAUUCUUCUCCACCUGAAAUCACACCAUCCACCUCUCCCCACUCCCUCAGGGCCCUCGCAGUGUCACCCUGGCCAUCCUUGCUGGCCACCGAACCUAUGAUUCCCCUGAGAGUAGGUGGUCGAGCUUAGGCCCGAUGUCCAAUGCUAGGUGGGCAUUUGGAUUCGAUUCCUAAAACCUCAUCAUUUGAGUUCCAGGAUAAACUGGAAGAAACUGCCACUGUGGAGGACAAUCUCACCAUCUUGCAGAAGAGAAAAUUCCUCUUGGCAUACCCAAGGACACACCGCUGGCCAGGACAGGACUGAGGCCCACUCCAGGGCUGCUCAUGGCCAAACCUCACCGCCAUUUGAUCCUCCCGAAACCCCGCAGGGUGUUCCUCCCACAGCAGCCUGGAGCCUGGGGGGUGGCCCUCCCUUAGGCCCACUCCACUAUCUUAGCCCCCAUUUCUACCCUUCAACAUCACCUCUUAUUUAAAUUUCAUAUCUGUUUUAUUUUAUUUUUCCAGGUACUUAAAGAUCCACCUGCCUGGUAAUGAGGGGUGGGAGGUCCAUCCUUGGGACCCAGGAUAUUCUCAGUUCCACAGCCACCUCGUCUCCCUGUCUCCUCAUUCACUCUGGAGAUUCCCCAAGGACAAUCCGUACAUUCCACAAAUACUGAGUAAGUGCUGCGUACUGGGCGCUUCUCUAAGCACUUGGGGACACAGCAGAGAGCAAGAGUGACCAUUUAUCAAGGCCAGGCACUAAGUCAAGAUGGGGCAGAGGCUGGCAUGGGCAUAGGGAGCCAGGGCCAAGGGGUCAAUGGAAGGAUCUGGAAUCCUCAGUUUCUGUACUUCCUCAGGAGGGACGAGGCUGGGAUCAGAGGCCCUUGGUCCUCAUUCCACUCCUGUAGCCUGAUGGAAUUCUGCUUCCUUCUUUCCUAAAGCAUACAACCCCCUGCAUUCUUGCCUGUUUCCUUUAAAUCCUAGAUGUGGGUCUAUCUUAAGCAGCAAAUGGAAGCUGCGUCCCAGCCAGGUGGCCUGGGGAAUUGCUAUGAAGACGGCAGCUCAGACAUGAAGACGAACAGAAGGCCACCAAGGUGAUUCCCUACCCCCACCCAUGCACUCUGAGGAGGAGGACUAGGGAGCUCAGGGGCCUGAUACCUUCUGUCCUCACCCGGCCUGGGCUGUCCACAUUCAGGGACUGAAACCCCCUCCCUCCUGAGGUGAGCUGACCCAUUUCCAAGGGAGACAGGGUGCAGGAGCCUCGUUCCUUCUUACAAGGGUGAAGUACAACCUGCCUCUGCAAUCCACACUCUCAUGAAGCCGUCAAACGAUUGCCUUUGCAGUGUGAAAACCUGACCCCCAGACCCCCAGGCCCCCAAACCCAACGGCUCCUCCUCUGCAGCCCAAGCACCUCCAGGUCCCCGUGUCCAAAGGGCAAGUGCCUGGACCAGCCCAGCACGCCCUGCUAAGUCCUGCAUGUGCUCAGGGAGGCCCUCGACAGAGGAAAGCCGAGUGCUCACCUCCGCGUUCCACCAGGAAUGUCCCCCAGAGCCCACUGUCAUGCUGCUGUCAAGUCUCCAGGUCCCCAGAACUUGCUUCCAGUCAUCCAAGGAAAGCAGCCAUUUCCCUUGGCGGUGUCUUCUUCCUGCCCCUCUGGGCUGCCUGUCCUGCCUGCUCACAGCAGGUCCUACACUUGGUGAGAGGGACCCUCCUCCCCUGUGAGGCUCACGCCCUGUGCUGCUCCUGCUAAGGAGGGAAAUGAGCUGGGGAUCCGAUACCCUGUUGUGACACUCCCCUCUCAGUUGGCUUCUGGAGUCUUCCUCCUCGAGGGCUCCACCAGCCUGGCUUCCUAAACACACACUCACUGUGAAUGCUGAGAGAUGGCCUGGGCCAGGACAGGCAGGUGUGCAGAGGACCACUGAAAAACAGGCAGAGGAGCACACCCCACCCAAAAGGGGCUCUGGCCAAAGCAGGACGGUGCAGGCAGCAGGCCAGGAAAGGAAAGAGCAGCGGGAUGCUGUCCUUAGUCUCUUGUUUGGGCUUCAGGCUUAGGGUGCAGAUAAAAAUGAGGAAGAAUGAAGGGCAAAGGGUCCUGAUUGUCCCAAGUCCAGGCUUAGUUUCAAAACCUGGUAUCGGGGUCACUUGCAUCCACACCCUGAGCCUCGGUUUCCUCAUCUGCAAAAGGAAAGACAUGGGUGGAGUCUCAAAACAUGGGCAGGGCUUGAAGAAAGGUAGAGUCCCAGCCCCACCUGGGGCUGAGGGUGUGGUCAGCCAGGCUUAUUUGUGAGGAGCUGUCCUGAGCAAGUCAGAGAAGG